This 528-nucleotide ribosomal RNA is filed under the name Symbiodinium sp. CCMP2430. RNAcentral's name for it is "partial Bacterial large subunit ribosomal RNA". It matches the Rfam family "Bacterial large subunit ribosomal RNA", at positions 27 to 628 of the family's 2925-position model. Lineage: Eukaryota; Dinophyceae; Suessiales; Symbiodiniaceae. The record is from RNAcentral.
GAUGCCUCGGUGUCGAGAGGCGAAGAAGGACGUGGCACUCUGCGAUAAGCUGUGGGGAGGUGAGAGCAACCUUUGAUCCGCAGAUUUCCGAAUGGGGAAACCCACUCCGUAAGGAGUAUCCCGCAAGGGAGGCGAACCCGGGGAACUGAAACAUCUCAGUACCCGGAGGAAAGGACAUCAACCGAGACUCCGUUAGUAGUGGCGAGCGAACGCGGACCAGGCCUGUGGCAUUCAAGUAAGAACUGGAAGCACAUGGAAAGGUGCGCUGCAAAGGGUGAUAGCCCCGUACAGGUAGAAAUCUUGAAUGUCCUCGAGUAGGGCGGGACACGUGAAAUCCUGUCUGAACGUGGGGGGACCACCCUCCAAGCCUAAGUACUCCUUGUCGACCGAUAGCGAACAAGUACCGUGAGGGAAAGGUGAAAAGCACCCCGACGAGGGGAGUGAAACAGACCCUGAAACCGGAUGCCUACAAACAGUUGGAGGGCUUCGUGCCUGACAGCGUACCUUUUGUAUAAUGGGUCAGCGACU